This 93-nucleotide signal recognition particle RNA is filed under the name SAR324 cluster bacterium. RNAcentral describes it as "signal recognition particle sRNA small type". It matches the Rfam family "Bacterial small signal recognition particle RNA". From Rfam's summary of the family: The signal recognition particle (SRP) is a universally conserved ribonucleoprotein involved in the co-translational targeting of proteins to membranes. Archaeal SRP consists of a 7S RNA and homologues of the eukaryotic SRP19 and SRP54 proteins. The record is from RNAcentral. Lineage: Bacteria; Deltaproteobacteria.
GGGGUGAUCCGUGCGACUGGAAGGUACGAACUGUGUCAGAUCCGAGAGGAAGCAGCACUAAGUUCUGGAAGGUGUGUUACGGAUCACUUUGCA